Molecule: ribosomal RNA, 468 nt
Filed under: uncultured bacterium
Lineage: Bacteria
Description: partial 16S ribosomal RNA
Rfam family: Bacterial small subunit ribosomal RNA
Source: RNAcentral
GACGAACGCUGGCGGCGUGCUUAACACAUGCAAGUCGAACGGAAAGGCCCUGCUUUUGUGGGGUGCUCGAGUGGCGAACGGGUGAGUAACACGUGAGUAACCUGCUCUUGACUUUGGGAUAACUUCAGGAAACUGGGGCUAAUACCGGAUAGGAGCUCCUGCUGCAUGGGGGGGGUUGGAAAGUUUCGGCGGUUGGGGAUGGACUCGCGGCUUAUCAGCUUGUUGGUGGGGUAGUGGCUUACCCAGGCUUUGACGGGUAGCCGGCCUGGGAGGGUGACCGGCCACAUUGGGACUGAGAUACGGCCCAGACUCCUACGGGAGGCAGCAGUGGGGAAUAUUGCACAGUGGGCGGAAGCCUGAUGCAGCAACGCCGCGUGCGGGAUGACGGCCUUCGGGUUGUAAACCGCUUUCGCCUGUGACGAAGCGUGAGUGACGGUAAUGGGUAAAGAAGCACCGGCUAACUACGUG